Molecule: long non-coding RNA, 339 nt
Organism: Physeter macrocephalus (sperm whale)
Lineage: Eukaryota; Metazoa; Chordata; Mammalia; Artiodactyla; Physeteridae
Exons: 3
Source: RefSeq, a predicted model, not a curated record
AAUCGUGGGGACAGUGGGCCUGCACGUGGACGGUGGCACAGAGGACACCCAGCGUGGUGGUUCUCCAACGAGCAGGAGAACCCUCUGGAAGCUCAAGCCCCGACAGUCACUCCUGCCACAGAAACGUCCCAGGAGCACUCUGGCAGAUGUUUGGUCCUUGCUUUCUUCCCGGCCAACAGAAUACCAACUCUGUCCAAGUGAUGGACAAGCCCAGAGGAAGGGGGUGAAUCAUGACAGGGAUCCCAGGCCUCUUUCCAGUCAUUGACCUAGCGGGUGAAGAGAUGGCAUUGGUGCUGCCGAGGGGCGCGGGAGGAAGAGGGAGGCAAAAGAAGACACGGC